GACGAACGCUGGUGGCGUGCCUAAUACAUGCAAGUCGAGCGGACCAAUAGAAGCUUGCUUCUGUUGGUUAGCGGCGGACGGGUGAGUAACACGUGGGCAACCUGCCUGUAAGACUGGGAUAACUUCGGGAAACCGGAGCUAAUACCGGAUAAUUCAUCCUCUCGCAUGAGGGGAUGCUGAAAGUCGGUUUACGCUGACACUUACAGAUGGGCCCGCGGCGCAUUAGCUAGUUGGUGAGGUAAUGGCUCACAAAGGCGACGAUGCGUAGCCGACCUGAGAGGGUGAUCGGCCACACUGGGACUGAGACACGGCCCAGACUCCUACGGGAGGCAGCAGUAGGGAAUCUUCCACAAUGGACGAAAGUCUGAUGGAGCAACGCCGCGUGAGCGAUGAAGGCCUUCGGGUCGUAAAGCUCUGUUGUUAGGGAAGAACAAGUAUCGGAGUAACUGCCGGUACCUUGACGGUACCUAACCAGAAAGCCACGGCUAACUACGUGCCAGCAGCCGCCGCCG
RNAcentral lists this ribosomal RNA (512 nucleotides) under uncultured bacterium. Its description in RNAcentral is "partial 16S ribosomal RNA". It matches the Rfam family "Bacterial small subunit ribosomal RNA", at positions 28 to 523 of the family's 1533-position model. The record is from RNAcentral.